Molecule: long non-coding RNA, 646 nt
Organism: Alosa alosa (allis shad)
Lineage: Eukaryota; Metazoa; Chordata; Actinopteri; Clupeiformes; Clupeidae
Exons: 3
Source: RefSeq, a predicted model, not a curated record
UUGAUUAAUAGGCCCUACCUCUGGAAAGGGACCUGAUGAAACCCAUGAAUAGCCUGGAGUGGACUAUUCUGGCCUAUUUGUGUAGGUCUGCCAUCCAGGCGUAGCCGGACAGAUACGACGUGCAGGGCUGAAGGGCUGCCACGACAAGCAAAAAUGAACGGGAGUGACAACUAUGUAAGCCAAUGAUGUAUGCGCAGAAACACAUGCGUCCAAUGAAAUCACUAAAGGAAUGUCCAUCCAACCCCCCGGAAGAAAAUAUGGCGAAACAUCACCGAGAGUGUAGAAGACAAUGCACCCAGAGCCAUUCUGUCAAGCAGCCAUUCUGCAGAAGAGGCGGUGGAAAGGCAUGCUGUGGUUGAAUCAUUUCCCCAACUGGGCUACUUUUGUGGUUGUUCUUCAUUUCUAAAUGACGGUAUUAUUUUUAUAUUUUUAUAAAGAAUUAAUCAAAAAUCAUCUCGCCAUAUUGAUGUAAUUGCUGACCCAUGUCCAUCUUAAGUGACUUACUUCACAAUAAAUCUUUCUCAAAUGCUCACAUUUUUACCAUGUUUCCAAAAUGCUGUUGAAAUCUCAGAUGCUAUGCAUAUAAUCACCAGUUCUCCUUGAUGUAGCCUGCAUAAUCUGUAGUAAUUGGCUUUGAAUAAUAAAG